RNAcentral lists this ribosomal RNA (245 nucleotides) under uncultured bacterium. Its description in RNAcentral is "partial 16S ribosomal RNA". It matches the Rfam family "Bacterial small subunit ribosomal RNA", at positions 32 to 255 of the family's 1533-position model. The record is from RNAcentral.
AAUCAACGCUGGCGGCGUGCCUCAGACAUGCAAGUCGAACGCGAAAGGUUCCUUCGGGGACCGAGUAGAGUGGCGCACGGGUGAGUAACACGUAGGUAAUUUGCCUUUGGGUGGGGAAUAACUCAGGGAAACUUGAGCUAAUACCGCAUAAAUGCAGCGGCUCGACAUCGAGACAGUUGUAAAGCGGGGGAUUCGCAAGAACCUCGCGCCUAAAGAGAAGCCUGCGGCAGAUAGCUAGUUGGUAA